GACGAACGCUGGCGGCGUGCUUAACACAUGCAGGUCGAACGGUGAAGCGCCUUCCUUUUUGGUGGGUGUGGAUGAGUGGCGAACGGGUGAGUAACACGUGAGUAACCUGCCCCCUUCUUCUGGAUAACCGCAUGAAAGUGUGGCUAAUACGGGAUAUUCUGGGUCUGUCGCAUGAUGGGUCUGGGAAAGAUAUUGUUUCGGUGGGGGAUGGGCUCGCGGCCUAUCAGCUUGUUGGUGGGGUGAUGGCCUACCAAGGCGGUGACGGGUAGCCGGCCUGAGGGGGUGGACGGUCACACUGGGACUGAGACACGGCCCAGACUCCUACGGGAGGCAGCAGUGGGGAAUAUUGCACAAUGGGCGCAAGCCUGAUGCAGCGACGCCGCGUGAGGGAUGGAGGCCUUCGGGUUGUGAACCUCUUUCGCCAGUGAAGCAGGCCUGCCUCGUUUGUGGGUGGGUUGACGGUAGCUGGAUAAGAAGCGCCGGCUAACUACGUG
This 494-nucleotide ribosomal RNA is filed under the name uncultured bacterium. RNAcentral describes it as "partial 16S ribosomal RNA". It matches the Rfam family "Bacterial small subunit ribosomal RNA", at positions 28 to 507 of the family's 1533-position model. The record is from RNAcentral.